AUACGUAGGGGGCGAGCGUUGUCCGGAAUGAUUGGGCGUAAAGGGCGCGUAGGCGGCGCGGUAAGUCUGGAGUGAAAGUCCUGCUUUCAAGGUGGGAAUUGCUUUGGAUACUGCCGCGCUUGAGUGCAGGAGAGGUUAUCGGAAUUCCCGGUGUAGCGGUGAAAUGCGUAGAGAUCGGGAGGAACACCAGUGGCGAAGGCGGGUAACUGGACUGCAACUGACGCUGAGGCGCGAAAGUGUGGGGAGCAAACAGGAUUAGAUACCCUGGUAGUCCACACUGUAAACGAUGAAUACUAGGUGUGGGGGGACUGACCCCCUCCGUGCCGCAGUUAACACAAUAAGUAUUCCACCUGGGGAGUACGGCCGCAAGGUUGAAACUCAAAGGAAUUGACGGGG
RNAcentral lists this ribosomal RNA (396 nucleotides) under uncultured bacterium. Its description in RNAcentral is "partial 16S ribosomal RNA". It matches the Rfam family "Bacterial small subunit ribosomal RNA", at positions 523 to 918 of the family's 1533-position model. The record is from RNAcentral.